This 475-nucleotide ribosomal RNA is filed under the name uncultured bacterium. RNAcentral's name for it is "bacterial SSU rRNA". It matches the Rfam family "Bacterial small subunit ribosomal RNA", at positions 13 to 504 of the family's 1533-position model. The record is from RNAcentral.
UUGAUCAUGGCUCAGGGUUAACGCUGGCGGUGUGUAUAAUACAUGCAAGUCGAGCGCCCCGCACUUUGUUUACAAUUCGUUUGUAGGUGAAGUGCGGGGAGCGGCGAACGGCUGAGUAACACGUUGGUAACUGCCCCAAACUCAGGGAUAACAUCUAGAAAUAGAUGCUAAUACCGGAUAGUCCCGAAAGGGUAAAGAUUUUUCGGUUUGGGAGGUGCCUGCGACCUAUCAGUUUGUUGGUGAGGUAAUAGCUCACCAAGACUAUGACGGGUAGCUGGUCUGAGAGGAUGAUCAGCCAGAAUGGGACUGAGACACGGCCCAUACUCCUACGGGAGGCAGCAGUAAAGAAUCUUCCACAAUGGGCGAAAGCCUGAUGGAGCAACACCGCGUGAACGAUGAAGGUCGAAAGAUCGUAAAGUUCUUUUCUGAGGGAAGAAUUCUGACGGUACCUUAGGAAUAAGCACCGGCUAACUCC